AACGAACGCUGGCGGCAUGCCUAACACAUGCAAGUCGAACGAGACCUUCGGGUCUAGUGGCGCACGGGUGCGUAACGCGUGGGAACCUGCCCUUAGGUUCGGAAUAACUCCCCGAAAGGGGUGCUAAUACCGGAUAAUGUCUUCGGACCAAAGAUUUAUCGCCCUUGGAUGGGCCCGCGUUGAAUUAGCUAGUUGGUAGGGUAAAAGCCUACCAAGGCGACGAUCCAUAGCUGGUCUGAGAGGAUGAUCAGCCACACUGGGACUGAGACACGGCCCAGACUCCUACGGGAGGCAGCAGUGGGGAAUAUUGGACAAUGGGCGAAAGCCUGAUCCAGCAAUGCCGCGUGAGUGAUGAAGGCCUUAGGGUUGUAAAGCUCUUUUACCCGGGAUGAUAAUGACAGUACCGGGAGAAUAAGCUCCGGCUAACUCCGUG
This 433-nucleotide ribosomal RNA is filed under the name uncultured bacterium. Its description in RNAcentral is "partial 16S ribosomal RNA". It matches the Rfam family "Bacterial small subunit ribosomal RNA", at positions 29 to 507 of the family's 1533-position model. The record is from RNAcentral.